AAAUCAUGUUUCUGUUUUGAAAACAUAGCCGUUCCUUGGCGUUGGCUGAGUUCCCCCUCACGUGGUGGUUUAGCGUGAAGUAAACCCUAAACUUUACCCCAGGAGAUACCCUACGCGCCUCUCCGUUCGAGGUAAGAAUAUAAUGGGGUUUACCGUGCCCCUCUAAAAGGCUGGUCCACAGAAACCCCCUACUGCGGUGAUUAAUUAAUAUAUAAUCCACCAUAUAAUAAAACUCAAUAACAUGAUAUGGUAAUUUUGUAAUUCGCAGUUUUUCAAGGCAACCAAACAAUUCACAUUUCAAUACAAUUGCCAACUAGCCAAUCAUGCUCGAUUUAUCAUAAGCCAGUUAAUUUAAACAAUCAAAUUGCCACAAUUAACAGUCUCC
Molecule: long non-coding RNA, 385 nt
Filed under: Theobroma cacao (cacao)
Lineage: Eukaryota; Viridiplantae; Streptophyta; Magnoliopsida; Malvales; Malvaceae
Description: long non-coding RNA (TCAC_LNC003705)
Source: RNAcentral